CUCGCGCUGGCCUCUCCGGGCGCUCGACUCCUUUCUCUCGGCGGGGGUGGGCCGACGCCUGCAUCGCCGUGACAUCACCUCCAUUCAGGCGCUUAUCGGGCGCCCGCGGGGCUCCAGGUGCGGGCUGUCCGCUCACAGGACUCUGAUUUUAGGAAGUUCUCCAAGUGAUUGUUGUGUCUAAUAGAAUUUGAGAGCCACUGAAAUACAAAUCUGUCUUGGAGACAAGCAAAUACUUCCCAGGAACAUAAGCGAUGAGCAGAACUGGGGCUCAGGAGUGGAGAAGCAGAUGACUGGAGAGUAAAUGAUCGCAGAGCUGCCUGAUUAAAUGCACGCCCUCCUGGGAGCUGAGUUUUCUUGGGGAGUGAAGUGAGGAGAGUGCGUUAAGGCGUGGAGCCCUUGGGGGGAUGAUGUUGUCAUGACGGGCAUUGGCCUGACCCAUAAACUGAAGCCCCUGGACUCUUGCCUGUUGAAAGAUGAGGAUCCCAGAGGUGGGAAGGGAGCAGAAGGCAAGAAAAUGUGAGCCAGCCCCCAAAGAAAUACUUUUCAGGGCUUCCUUUCCCUGGAGAUCAGAGGCAGUUAUGGUUGAAUUAUUUUCUGUUGGUGUCUGGUCUUGCCCCUUCUUGUAAACAGGGGAGAAUGGAAUCUGACUUCGUGUUGGAUCCAUUUCUUUCACUUUACUUUUGCUCUCGAUGGCUUUUGUUAGAUAGGAUGCUGUCUAUAGCUGUCACCAUACAUAAUGGCCUGCCUGGGGAGCCCUGCCCACCUGUGAAUGACUGCAGAAAAGAAGAAAUUAACACAUCCUGUCCCCGAUGCUGACCAAGCCAGCAGAUAUUCUGCAAGACUUACAGCCUGUUUACUUCCUCAUCUCCUCCCCCUCUCUGUUUUAUAAAAGAAACUGGCAUCAAAGACUCCGAUAAGAUGGUACUCUAGGACACGAAUCUGCCAUCUUCUCGGAUGCCUGGCUUUCUGAAUAAAGUCGAAUGGAUUCGCUAUUUCUUGCCUCAACACCUCAUCUCCUGCCCUGAGCUUGGAUUCAGUAACAUUCUCACCUAGACUCCUCCUUUUGGACCUGGUAGAGCUUCAGAGAAAAAGCAAGCAGCUCAAGUGAAGGCCUUGGAUGCUGUCAUGGGACAUCUUAGGUCAAAGUGAAAGAGAGGAGGAAAGAGUCCUAUCAUUGGAACUUCCUCAUGGAUUCCAGUGGAUUCUAGAUUCUGGCCACAGACUUUGUGUCUAACGUUUCCCAGAGGCUGCUUCUACUCCAGAACCUUCUCUCCUGACUUCCCCACACAUCUCCGCAGCCCACGUCUCCUCCCUCUGUUUCUGAAGCCACUGUGUCUCUAAAAAUUGUCUCCUGGCAGAGUCCCGGCGCCCCUCAAGAAACACAGCUCAGUCCCUCAUUCCUGGGCUCACCGACUCUGAAGCCAAACCCACCGCUGGUCAACGUGCAAGAAAAACGCCAGGAGGGAAGGGCUUUCCCGUCACAGCCCUGCCUCUGAUUAGUCUCCUCCAGCAAAUCCCUUCAGGACCCUUUCUGCCCUAGCCUCCUGAUUCCUCAGGCACGUGUCUUCAGAUACACGCUGGAUAAGUGUGUGCAAGAGGCAGGGUGUAAAGGAAACCGAGUCAGUCUCUGCCUUCAGACACGCAUAAUCUAAUCAAUGAGAUCAAUGACAACAGUCACUGAGAUGCGGGGUGAUAGUCACAGAAGUGCACCAGGACCUUGGGGAUGAAGCCAGGGGACUCCACGGAUGCUGGGGACGAGGGUGCGGGAAUCCAGGAGAGAGUAAGAGAAGAGGUGAGAUCUGAGCUGGACUGGGAACAAUGAAAGGAAUGCAAGGGCAGGAUGGAAAGGAAUUCCAAGCAUGAGAGGAGACCUGGAGGCUGUGGGGUCUUGGUGGGUUCAGAAAGCAACAAGUAACCCCUUGUGGCUCAGGCACCCGCUGACGGCUCCUGGGAGAGGAUCCCUCCUUGACUCUUAUUUUUAUUUAUUUUUCUUUCUUCCCUUUCCUUUUAUAGCUCCGGGGGGCUCCAGGCACUCCUUGGCUGGUGACAGCCUCAUUCUAGUCUCUGACUCUGGCUUCACAUGACCUGACUCUCUGUGUCUUCUUUUCUGUCUCUUAGAAGGACACUUGUCACUGGAUGGAGGGCCUAUCCCAAUUCAGGAUGAUCUCGUUUCAAGAUCUUUAUCUUUUUUUUCCUGCCCAUUCGGUAGGGCUUCCGAGGUCUCAGUUACCCAACCAGGGAUUGAACUCUGGUCACGGCAGAGUGAAAGCACCAAGUCGGAACCACUGGACCUCUAGGGGACUCCCUCAAGAUGUUUAUCUUAAUUAAAUCUGCAAAGAUCCUUAUUCCAAAAGUUCCAAAUGGACGUAUCUAUUUUUUUUUUUCCAGUAGAGGAGAAGGGGAGAGAUAAAUGCCAUUCAACCCACUAACUCCCCCAGCCCCAACCCCACCGGUUCUGGUUAUCUGUUGCUAUGCAGCAAAUAACCCCUAAAUAUAGUGACUUCAAGCAACAAGCAUCUCCUGUGUUUCUUCUGGGUUAGGAAUUCAGGAAGGGCUUGUCUGGGCAGUUCCCCCUCUGUGGGCUGGUUUGGGCUUCCUCACAGCAUGGCUGCCGGGGGAGGUCAGUGCAUUCAUGCAGAGUGAGGCAGAGAGCUUGUGGUUUGUAACUUAGUUUCCAGCAUUACAGGGGCCGCUUCCUCCUGCUCUGCCAUUCACAAAUGCUCGCCCUCUCCCCGGGGUCACAGCAGCUCUCUGCAGAAGAGAGAGAGCAUUCCCCUUCACAGAGAGAUAGGCUGAGCAAGGUAAGCAACUGCCACAUUGUUACAACCAAGGAUGUGCGAGCAGGCUAAGUCAGCUUCAGUCCUGUCUGACUCUUUGCGAACCCAUGGACUGUAGCAAACCAGGCUCCUCUGUCCAUGGGAUUCUCCAGGCAAGAAUACCAGAGUGGGCUGCCAUUCCCUUCUUCAGGGGAUCUACCUGACCCAGGGAUGCAGCCCGCAUCUCUUAUGUCUCCUGUAUUUGGCAGGUGGGUUCUUUACCACCAGCGCCACCUGGGCAGUCCAAGGGCAGAACCCAGGAAAGUGACUUCAGGGUCUGUAAUCAUAACAUGAACAGGGAACCUGGGGUCACUUUCUCUUCUCCAGUGUUUUGUUCUUUUGACCUGAGAAGGGCCUGACCCACCCCAGACCGCUAUCCAAAAGGUUCACAGACAAUAACGUGCUGUGCAAAGGCGGCCUGGGGAUGGGCAGUCAGGUGCCCUGGCUCCCAGCCCUGGCCCUGCCACUUCUAUCUGUGUGGUCUUGUGUGUGUUUUCUUGUUCAAUAACAGAAUGAAUCAUGCCAGCCUCUCUCCUUUCACCGUCGUCACGGGUGAAAUGAGGUUCAAUAAGGUAGCUUGCUCGCUAAGCUGUUUAAUGCUCUUCAAAUAAGCAGUGUCGUAUGUCUCUCUGAGCUCUUCAGAGUGCCAUGAACCUCCUAGCUGCUUGACAAAUAUUUGUUGAUUUUAAUGUAAAGGUUUCCUACCAACCCUAGAAAGAGCAGCACCUCCCAUCAACUCAGCCCUGUUCCCAAGGCCAGUUACCACCAAGGGAGCCCAUUGGGUGGGUGGAAUCAUCAGUGAGGGACCGUGGGCUUGGAGUCUGGGUGUUUUGGAGGGGCUUUCUUUUGCCCUGAAGUAGCCAGUGAAUAAGACUGGGUGACUCUUUCAGGGUAUUCCUACCACUGAGAGCUUUGUAAACAAGCUACCCCCAAAUGUAGUAGCUUUAAAGCAGUCUUUUGAUCUCUCAACGUUGUGCGGCUUGACAGGGUUCCGCUGGCCCAUUCUCACUCGACCAUGGGGUGGGGGCCUCUGUGCAGCUGUAAUGAGGGAGCAGCUGGGGCCGCGGUCGUCUGAAGGCCCCCCUGGACGGGAUGUCGGGUGGUCAGGGCCCACCCCCACGUAGCCUCUCUGUCCAGGGGGACGGCCCAGCUUCUUAAGUGGCAGCUCACAGCUCCAAGGGGCUUCCCUGGCGGCUCAGACAGUAAAGACUCGGCCUGCAAAGCAGGAGACCCAGGUUCGAUCCCCGGAGUGGGAAGAUCCCCUGGAGAAGGGCAUGGCAA
This is a long non-coding RNA of Cervus elaphus (red deer), 4097 nucleotides long. RefSeq lists it as uncharacterized. NCBI's taxonomy places the organism in Eukaryota, Metazoa, Chordata, Mammalia, Artiodactyla, Cervidae. The transcript has 3 exons. The record is from RefSeq and is a predicted model, not a curated record.